GACGAACGCUGGCGGCGUGCUUAACACAUGCAAGUCGAACGGAAAGGCCCUGCUUGCAGGGUACUCGAGUGGCGAACGGGUGAGUAACACGUGGGUGAUCUGCCCUGCACUUCGGGAUAAGCUUGGGAAACUGGUCUAAUACCGGAUAGGAGCCAUCUUUAGUGUGGUGGUUGGAAAGUUUUUUCGGUGUAGGAUGAGCUCGCGGCCUAUCAGCUUGUUGGUGGGGUAAUGGCCUACCAAGGCGGCGACGGGUAGCCGGCCUGAGAGGGUGUACGGCCACAUUGGGACUGAGAUACGGCCCAGACUCCUACGGGAGGCAGCAGUGGGGAAUAUUGCACAAUGGGCGCAAGCCUGAUGCAGCGACGCCGCGUGGGGGAUGAAGGCCUUCGGGUUGUAAACUCCUUUCGCUAGGGACGAAGCUUUUUUGUGACGGUACCUAGAUAAGAAGCACCGGCUAACUACGUG
RNAcentral lists this ribosomal RNA (465 nucleotides) under uncultured bacterium. Its description in RNAcentral is "partial 16S ribosomal RNA". It matches the Rfam family "Bacterial small subunit ribosomal RNA", at positions 28 to 507 of the family's 1533-position model. The record is from RNAcentral.